GAUGAACGCUGGCGGCGUGCUUAACACAUGCAAGUAGAACGCUGAAGGAGGAGCUUGCUCUUUUGGAUGAGUUGCGAACGGGUGAGUAACGCGUAGGUAACCUGCCUGGUAGCGGGGGAUAACUAUUGGAAACGAUAGCUAAUACCGCAUGACAACAGUUAAUGCAUGAUAACUGUUUAAAAGUGUCAACUGCUCCACUACCAGAUGGACCUGCGUUGUGUGAGCUAGUUGGUGAGGUAACGGCUCACCAAGGCGACGAUACAUAGCCGACCUGAGAGGGUGAUCGGCCACAACGGGACUGGGACACGGCCCAGACUCCUACGGGAGGCAGCAGUAGGGAAACUUCGGCAAUGGACGGAAGUCUGACCGAACAAAGCCGCGGGAGUGAAGAAGGUUUUCGGGUCGUAAAGGUCUGUUGUAAAGGAAGAACGAGUGUGAGAGUGGAAAGUUCACACAGUGACGGUAUCUUACCAGAAAGCAACGGCUAACUACGUG
This 495-nucleotide ribosomal RNA is filed under the name uncultured bacterium. RNAcentral describes it as "partial 16S ribosomal RNA". It matches the Rfam family "Bacterial small subunit ribosomal RNA", at positions 28 to 507 of the family's 1533-position model. The record is from RNAcentral.